RNAcentral lists this ribosomal RNA (433 nucleotides) under uncultured bacterium. Its description in RNAcentral is "partial 16S ribosomal RNA". It matches the Rfam family "Bacterial small subunit ribosomal RNA", at positions 29 to 507 of the family's 1533-position model. The record is from RNAcentral.
AACGAACGCUGGCGGCAUGCCUAACACAUGCAAGUCGAACGAGACCUUCGGGUCUAGUGGCGCACGGGUGCGUAACGCGUGGGAACCUGCCCUUAGGUUCGGAAUAACUCCCCGAAAGGGGUGCUAAUACCGGAUAAUGUCUUCGGACCAAAGAUUUAUCGCCUUUGGAUGGGCCCGCGUUGGAUUAGCUAGUUGGUAGGGUAAAAGCCUACCAAGGCGACGAUCCAUAGCUGGUCUGAGAGGAUGAUCAGCCACACUGGGACUGAGACACGGCCCAGACUCCUUCGGGAGGGAGGAGUGGGGAAUAUUGGACAAGGGGGGAAAGCCUGAUACAGCAAUGCCGCGGGAGGGGUGAAGGCCUUAGGGUUGUAAAGCCCUUUUACCCGGGAUGAUAAUGACAGUACCGGGAGAAUAAGCUCCGGCUAACUCCGUG